Paramuricea clavata is the source of this 530-nucleotide non-coding RNA. The record is from the annotation of a GenBank genome assembly. Lineage: Eukaryota; Metazoa; Cnidaria; Anthozoa; Malacalcyonacea; Plexauridae.
UAAUACUUAUAGGAAAUAUUUGGAGAAAUUUACGACAACGUUAAAAGAACAUUUCUUAACCCAUAACUGAAUGAAUGUGAAGUCCAACAUUUUUUGCCGCUGAAAGGUGUACUAUAACAUCUGUCAGAAAGUGUUAUUCAAGAAAUGUUAGACUGAACUAUAACUAUGUAAGAGUAAUCGCUACUCUCAAAUAAGUACUCACUACUCUCCCCAUCUUUUGAAGCGCUUAAUAAACACCCAGGCGUUAAUAAGAUCAUUUACGGUACAUAAUGCUGAUCGUGGAUUUUAAACUAGUAACACUGUACUAACCAGCCAAAUCUUCCUGACGAACACCAACGGUUCUUAUAUUUCGCAUUAUAUAAUGUCAUUAAAAUUAAUUAAAUUUAGUAUUAAUUUUAAAGUUAGCUAACUAGAUAUCGCCAUGACAUUUACAAACAUAUAAUAAGAAGCUUCACUACUUGUAGUGCAUGACUUCCAAAAUUAUGCUUGUAGUGAACGUAUUUCAAGGAUUUGUAGUAACUUUUGUAGCG